AUGCUUUUAUCCAUAAAUCAUCAGAGAAAGUGAAGAAUGGAAAGGGAUUAACUCAGAUACAUAUCUGGAAACCGAAGAGACCUACUUCCCAUGGAGCAGCUGAGGCUGGCAUGCUCCUGGAAAAUGCAUAUGGUAGGAAGCAGAAGAAGCAAGUGAGAAUGUCACUUGAAAUCUGUAGGAGUCUGCGGGUGGAGGAGAACCUGAGCUGCUGAGAUGAGCUGAGAAAGGACAGGAAACAUUCAGAGAGAAUGUCACCAACUAGGAAGAUCUAUACUUUUUCAAAGAUCUUCUUCAGAAGGCAUGUGAACAAAUAUUCUGGCAUGAGGACAUCUGCUUUGAUAUCAGCUUUGAGGACAGAAAUAUGUUAUUACCAACAAAUACAUGUCUUUUAAAAAUUUAUUUAUUUUUGAGUUACAUGUAUUUUAUAAAAUUCUAAGUUAAUUUGCAGACAUGGAUAUCUGAAAUCAUAAUUAUUCAACUGUAUUUUUGUCUUGGCUAUAAGGCUGACAUAUUUGUAGGAGAAAUAAAUUACACACAAAC
Molecule: long non-coding RNA, 540 nt
Organism: Gallus gallus (chicken)
Lineage: Eukaryota; Metazoa; Chordata; Aves; Galliformes; Phasianidae
Source: Ensembl